AAGUCGUAACAAGGUAACCGUAGGUGAACCUGCGGUUGGAUCAUUAACAAAUUCAACUCUUUGUUAAAGGGGGUACAGUAUGGACUAGAGUGGUAAAACAUUCUAGGCCACUCCAAUCCCCCCUUUUUCAAACACCCCUUUGUGAACUGUUUAUUGUCUCUGGUGUGGUUAAACGUAGACUUUAGAGCGAGUGGCCUUCCAUACCCAUUAUCUCUUCGUUUAUGGGGAAAUUCAUUUUCCUCACCCACUGUUAUAUUUUAACUAUUAAUGCUAGUCAAUAUUCGUCUAAUCAAGUUAUAUUUUUAAUUUAAAAACAACUUUUGACAACGGAUCUCUUGGCUCUC
Molecule: unclassified non-coding RNA, 344 nt
Filed under: fungal sp.
Lineage: Eukaryota; Fungi
Description: partial internal transcribed spacer region
Rfam family: Eukaryotic small subunit ribosomal RNA (bases 1-46)
Source: RNAcentral